CAUCACACGAACGUAUUAUUUUAGUGUCACGGCUGUGAAGCAUCUCAUUACAUUACAUUGUUAGUACCAAAAUGAUACGCCUGAGUUUUAAACGUUUUAUUGUUGUAAAGAACACGUCCUGAACUAUUAUAAAUAACUAAUUUCACUUCAAUGACUGCACGGUUGGCGCGGUGGCUGGGCAACCGGCUGUCACGUAACGUACAGUGAGUUCGAUUCCCACACGGAGCAACACUGUAUGAUUCACAAAUUGUUGUUUCAGUUAUGGUCGCUGGUUGUCAGUUGUGUCAGUUCGUUCGUGGGGGAUUUAACAAAGCAAAGACACACGAGAAAAUCCUAGAGUGGGGCAAUUGUUUUCUAAAGAAACUUUUGGCAUUUCAGUUCUCAGUAUUGUCUUGUGUACUUUUUAAUACUUGGAUGUUUGUGGAACUUGCCCGGAGACAACUGCGCAGGAGAGAAAGGUAAACAAAAUCAGAGUUACUUAACUUAUUUUUUUAUGACUGACUUUUAUAAUUAUGUGCAGUGCGAUACUCGCUCGGCUACGGACGUGUGUCCACUGCACGCUGUUUUCAAUAUUUCGCGGCUUGCGCGGCAAUAGGCGCUGCAUGGUGACACUAUGUGCGGUUGGGAACCCAUCCCAACCGCUCAUAGUAAACGAAUUACUAGCGUUCCAUUGACUGCACGGACGAGGUGAGCAUAUUACAAAUAUAAAAACUUUAGGCUGCAGAGCGUGCCAAACAAUUAUACAUACAUACAUACUCUCGAAAAACAUAAACCUCCUUCUGGCGCAGUCGGGUAAAAUAAUAUAUACCAAUACUAUAGACCCAUUUCAGUAUUAACAGGUCUCUCAAAAAUUUUAGAAAAAAAUAUAAAUAGUAGAUUAAUAGAUUAUCUUGAAGUUAACAAAUUGCUUUCAAAUAACCAAUUUGGGUUUAGACCAAAAAGGUCGACUAACCAAGCAGUUCACAGAUUUUCCUGGACCUCGCUAAAGCUUUUGACACAAUUUCUUGUUCUAUGUUACUACACAAGCUUGAAAAACUUGGAAUAAGAGGCAAACAACUUCAGUUGUUCACCGAUUAUCUUAGAGGUCGUCAACAAUGCGUUAAAAUAGGUCAGUACACAAGUUCUGAGAUGGAAAAUAGUGGUUUCGGAAUACCUCAAGGGAGUAUUUUGGGUCCUAAAUUAUUUUUAAUUUACAUUAAUGAUCUAUGUAGUUUGGUCCUUCGUAAUGGGCUAUUAUCAUAUGCGGAUGACACAGCCCUAUUGUUUUCCGCUGAAUCGCAAAGUGAAGCAUAUGAAUAUGCCCAAAACGGUUUUAAUGUUGUGUCAAAUUGGCUUAAUCAAAAUCUUCUAACAUAACAUAUAGAUAAAACUAAAUAUAUUUCAUUUUCAAUUAGAAACAUUAAUCCACCGCUUACUAACCUAGAUAUAUUUGCACAUAAUUGCAAUUCUGCUAACAUUGCUUGUACUUGUCCCACUUUAGUUAAAGCUAACCACAUAAAAUAUCUAGGUGUUACGAUUGACACAAAUCUGAAUUUCCGUAAACAUAUCGAGUUACUAUGCAAAAGAGUGCGUAAAUUAAUGUACAUUUUUAAGAACCUACGCCACAUAGCCGACUAUAAGUUAAACAGGUUUAUUUGGCUCUGUGUCAAUCUGCUCUCACCUAUUGUAUUACAUCAUGGGGUGGAACUGCAAAGUCUAUCUUGCUUCCUCUGGAAGGCGCUCAAAGAGUAAUUCUAAAGGUUGCUACUGUAGGGUAUAGCUAAUGUACAUUAUAAUAACAAACAUUUAUACGCAUAAAUAAACAAACAUAAACAUAUCAUUUACAGUCAUACAUACAUAAAUACAUACAUAAAUAAAUAUAAACAUUUACAUACAUACAAAUACACAAAUACAUAUACAUACAAAUCUACAUACUACAUACAUUACAUUCACAUUCUUACCAUACAUACUACUUUAUAACUUUAUUUCAUCUAUACACGGCCUUAUGCCUGCGCACGUAUGUACACGCCCUUAGCUAUACCUACACACCGUCCGGCCGCUAGCGGAGCCCUGGCGCCCGCGUUGACAACAUGCUCGGGACACUUCGGGAGUUCGCGGAGCCGUUCGGCACGCGGCGCGGCCGCCGCCUCCACCCCGCGCUUCACUCGCGCCCCUCGCUCGCCCACGUCAGUGACGUCAGUCCGCCUCGGCUAGCGAUCGCGCGCGCAUCGAAAACUUACUCUCGCGUUAACUUUAUAUAAUUUCGUUGAUCUCACUACUAAUACUGUAUAUUUUAUUAUUUAUUCAAUAUAGACAAUUUAAAGUUAGUGUCUAGUAUUUUAUUUAUUCCAAAUACUAAUAAACACUACACUACCUUCCGCCCUUUUAGGUUUCCCACACACCAACUAAACACUGCAUGUAAAAUACUAACAGUGCGCCAACUAUUUAUAUUGCAAACCGUACUUUAUCAGCACUCUCAGCUUCCUUUAGACCCAGUAUCCCAAACCGGGAGGAGGAGAGAUUUGGUUUACUUUAAACCACAGACAAGACAUGCAUUUGCACAUAGAUUUUACGUAUUUUUAGGACCAUUUUUGUACAACAAGGUCAACAAAAUACUAAAUAUAUAUAGUGUAAAUUAUUAUAAAUGUAGUACAUUGAAGUCAGCAGCGCCAAGCUGUUGCUAUUCCAGUCCUUUGGAAAACUAGACCAGAUGCCGUCUCGUCGCAGACAUGGCACUGAAAAGUGGCGAGAGAGCUAAGUAAAAGGUAACGGGGUUACCUUUGAUUACGUCGAUGUAACGCGACUGCUGAAGAAAAUAAAAUCAUUGAAGACACUGGAAACGGUCGCAUAGUUUCACGGAUAAGCUAUUACUUCUUCGUAGCAUAGCUACACAGGGACAUGUCUGAUGGAAACGCACCCUAAGGGUCGGUUCACAUCUGACGGAACAUGCGUCGCUUAUCAUCGGUCACACUUGACCGUUCACACUCAACCGAUGGUACGUCAGUACGUUGUGUGUGAACGGUCAACUGGUUUUCUAUACAUUUGUCUGUUACGCCAGCGUAGAGCCAGGAACUGUUUGUAACUCACAAUUUAAUAUUUUACCUUUUAUACGUCUUUUAUUGUUUAAAAAAAUAUAUUUUCAGCUUACUUACUUUGGCUGAUUAUUUAAGCAACAAAAUAUUAAUUAUUAUCAAAAUAAAUUAUUUCAGUGUCGCAAGGACAUCAUACAGAUAAGAUUUGCUAUUUACAGUAUGUCAAUAGGUCAUACAGUUUUGGAGAUAAUGUAAAAUUACUAAAAAGCAAAAUCCCGCUCGCACAAGUAACACGCUUUGUGCGGACGUUUUAUCUAUUCACCCAUAGACGGCGUUCUGCAAAUACGUCAUUUUUCUGACUCGCGGUGAUAAGGUUUUCCAUGGAUUGAUGACCGUCUCGAAUUAUUAUCCCCACGUUGACGUUAGUUGGUGUUAAAAAUAAGCCGGCAAACGUUCAGACAGAUCACCUGAAGGUAAGUAAUCGGCCAAAAGCUAGUUAAAUAUAAAAUUGUAAUUAUAGUUAUCCUAAUAACAUACCAAUAAAUCAGAAAUAGAAACAAAUUAAUUCAUUUAUUUUUCUUAGAGCUUUAUUUAAAGCGGCAGAUAAAAGUUUUGGUUCCUGAAAGUGUCUGUUUAUUUUAUAUGAGUUCAGAGUAAUAUUCUGCAAAACAUAUAUAAACAUCAAUCAUAAAAAUUAAGUUAAGUAACUCUGAGUUCGGUUACCUUUCUGGUAC
Spodoptera frugiperda (fall armyworm) is the source of this 3745-nucleotide long non-coding RNA. RefSeq lists it as uncharacterized. The record is from RefSeq and is a predicted model, not a curated record. The transcript is spliced from 3 exons. Lineage: Eukaryota; Metazoa; Arthropoda; Insecta; Lepidoptera; Noctuidae.